GGGGAUUAUGUUUCGAACUACAUUUAAUCCCUAAAUCCUAAAAAAUCUGAUUAUAAACCAUAAUAAGAGUUAUAACCAGAAGGCUAAUGUCCAUCCUUUUAUUUUGAUUGUUGUAUCCGGAAGUCGUCUUCAAAUUCUGCCCGUCAUUGUUUUAUUGUUGCAAGUGCCAACCGGAAGUGGUGUUCGUCGUGACGGGGUUUAGCUUGAGAGUUGUGACGGGACAGGCGGAGGAGGAUCAACGGGCAUAAUUUCACAUGAACCGGUAGCCUCUCCGGAGAGGUGUCAGCGGUAAAUGAAGACAGAAGACUUCCCGUCGGUAGUUUAUAUUGUAUUUACGGUGUGUGUCGGUGAUGUCGGACGGUGAAAGCUGAUGAAGUUCACCCGGGAUAUCUGCCGGUUGCUGGGUUUAGGAGGCGAGGGGAGGAAACCGCCAUGGCCGCCCGGCAGCCUUGAGAACCAGAUUUCAGCACAGGUGCUUUCAUAUCAAACAGUGACGCGUGGUCGGUGUAACCCUCAACUUCCUUCAACAUGUUUGUAGUUCAGAUAAAACGGCUCCUUUUUUACUGCAACGUCAGACGGAGUCCAUUGCACAAGUAAACGGUAGUAAUUUCAAAGAACGCAAGUCUGUUGACAAUUUGCCAAUUAUGUAUUAACUCACAUCGCAAAUCACUUUGUGAUGCAUGUGGAGAACACGUGGAAACAACUCGGUGGCUGUGGGCUGAUGUGCAAUCAAAUCAAAACAAUAUGUUACGUAAUCGAAUAUCUUUGGCGGUGAUACUGUUAUAGAGUGCUUGGCUGUGCGACUGUAACGUAAGAAAGACUUGGAGUAAGUACAUAGUUCCCUCAGACAUGUUGAGUGAGCGUACGUGCAGGUUUCCGUCACAUUCACACGAUGAACGCAAAGUGAAUUCUAAACGGAUUCCCUCUGCAAACAAAUGUGAGUUUUCUGUAGUUGGCGCAAACUGAAGUGAAGUGAAGUGAAGACUGGAAUUGACCAGAACAUGUACGGUCAGCUGAUCCCAAAGCUGUGUGACCGGACUUCAUGAAGUUAGACACAAAAGUCAAAUAGAGAAAUAGAAAAUAACAGAAACAGUUUGUCAAGACAAAACAAUCCACUUGGACUUGAACAUGUUCACCCAAGAGGGAGUCUCAGGUAUUUAACUCUCAUGGCGUUGUUCACACCAUGACGAGUUAAUCUGAUGGCCAGACGACAGAGGAUGACUUAGUGUCGCCUUCUACUCCCCGAGUGGAUGAGAAUAAUCUUCACAGAGAAGGGAAAGUUUUAAGAUGAGUCACACACAGUCGGUGCACGCUCCAGCUUUCAAAGUCACAUGAUUAACGCACAAUAAUAAAACCCACCUUGUUUCUUUUGUCUUCUUGUGUUUGCAGAAUGAAAACUGAAACAAAGGCU
Molecule: long non-coding RNA, 1411 nt
Filed under: Cottoperca gobio
Lineage: Eukaryota; Metazoa; Chordata; Actinopteri; Perciformes; Bovichtidae
Description: lncRNA (ENSCGOG00000021469.1)
Source: RNAcentral